UAGUCAUAUGCUUGUCUUAAGGACUAAGCCAUGCAUGUCUAAGUAUAAGCCCUAGCAAGGCUAGACUGCGAAUGGCUCAUUAAAUCAGUUAUAGUCUAUUUGAUUAUAAAACUACUUGGAUAACUGUAGUAAUUCUAGAGCUAAUACAUGCAAAAGACCCCGACUUCACGGAAGGGGUGUAUUUAUUAGGACUUAAACCAAUCUGGGCAACCAGUACUUGGUGAUUCAUAAUAACUUCUCGGAUCGCACAGCCUUGUGCUGGCGACGUUUCAUUCGAGUAUCUGAUCUAUCAACUUGAUGGUAGUGUAUUGGACUACCAUGGUUAUAACGGAUAACGGAGAAUUAGGGUUUGGCUCCGGAGAGGUCGCCUGAGAGACGGCGACCACUUCCAAGGAAGGCAGCAGGCGCGCAAAUUACCCAAUCCCGACACGGGGAGGUAGCGACAAGAAAUAACAAUACAGGUCCCGAUAAGGGACUUGUAAUUGGAAUGAAAGAAACGUAAAUACCUCAUUGAGGAACAAUU
RNAcentral lists this ribosomal RNA (523 nucleotides) under uncultured eukaryote. Its description in RNAcentral is "bacterial SSU rRNA". It matches the Rfam family "Eukaryotic small subunit ribosomal RNA", at positions 21 to 549 of the family's 1831-position model. The record is from RNAcentral.